RNAcentral lists this ribosomal RNA (207 nucleotides) under uncultured bacterium. RNAcentral's name for it is "partial 16S ribosomal RNA". It matches the Rfam family "Bacterial small subunit ribosomal RNA", at positions 568 to 774 of the family's 1533-position model. The record is from RNAcentral.
CGUGCAGGCGGGUUGGUAAGUCAGAUGUGAAAGCCCUGGGCUUAACCCAGGAAGUGCAUUUGAAACUGCCAUCCUUGAGUAUGGGAGAGGAGAGUGGAAUUCCCAAUGUAGAGGUGAAAUUCGUAGAUAUUGGGAGGAACACCCGUGGCGAAGGCGACUCUCUGGGCCAAUACUGACGCUGAGACGCGAAAGCGUGGGGAGCAAACA